CAUUGUAAUCGACAUCUUGAACGCAUAUGGCGGCCUCGGGUCCAUCCCGAGGCCACGCCCGUCUGAGGGUCGGCU
Molecule: ribosomal RNA, 75 nt
Filed under: Limacus flavus
Lineage: Eukaryota; Metazoa; Mollusca; Gastropoda; Stylommatophora; Limacidae
Description: Limax flavus partial 5.8S ribosomal RNA
Source: RNAcentral